Molecule: non-coding RNA, 519 nt
Organism: Poecilia reticulata (guppy)
Lineage: Eukaryota; Metazoa; Chordata; Actinopteri; Cyprinodontiformes; Poeciliidae
Source: RefSeq, a predicted model, not a curated record
AACUGAGCUGAAGGAAAACAAAGGAGAAAUAAAUAUUAAUUGAUACAGAACCGAAUCAGGAAAUAUGAACUUAUGAAACUAUUGAAACCUUCAAGAAUCUUAUGUUGUGUAAGAUAUUUAAGAAAAUAAUACUGAAACCGCACUCAUGAAUUUUUUUAUUUGACUAUUAUCUCCAAAAUAUGUUACUUUUUUAUGUUGAACACCAGACACAUCUCACCUCUUUCCACAGUUUUUCACUUAGUUCCACGACUGCAGUGGAUUUUAUAGUCAGUGUUUAAAGCAGCACUGACUCUGAAGUGAUGGAGGAAAUUUAUGUUAACAUGGAGCCUGUUGGACAAACUGCAUCUAAUCACACAGCUCAUGACAUGACAGCAGAUUUUUCUGACAUUAGUAACUUUCUGACUGAUCAGAACAGCGACAGCAAGUUUCCCUCCACGAACGCUAACUUCACUGAAACGACUCCAGGAGACGAAGAGACUUUAAGAACGAACAAACAUCAGUUGUUCCUGUUAAUUCAGG